GAACCCCCACCGCCCGACUCCAUCCUGGGCCCAGGAUCCCUAAGGAAUGGCCCCCUCCCUGUCACCCUGUACCCCUGACGCCUGGCUCACUCCUGGGCCACGGGAUCCCAGACGCCUGGCUCCCUCCUUGACACCAGGAACCCCUGAGGCCCGGCCUCCUCCUGGCACCCGGGACCCUGAUGCCCAACCACUUCCUAGGCACCUGGGACCAUGGACGCCCAGCUCCUCCGGGCACCUGGGAACCCCUACACCCUCCCUGGCACCCAUGUCCCCCAACACCCAGCCCUUCCUGUCACUCUGGAUUCCCGACGUUUGGCCCCAACCCUGGCAGUCCCGAUCCCCAGCACCUGGCCUCUUCCCUGGCACCCAGGACCCCCAGCACCUGGCCUCUUCCCUCAAACCCCGGACCCCAGACACCUGGCCCCUUCCCCGACGCCCAGCUCCCUCCUGGGUACAUGAGACCCCUGACGCUGGCCUCCUCCCUGGCACCCUGGACCCCUGA
Molecule: long non-coding RNA, 502 nt
Filed under: Oryctolagus cuniculus (rabbit)
Lineage: Eukaryota; Metazoa; Chordata; Mammalia; Lagomorpha; Leporidae
Description: lncRNA (ENSOCUG00000033477.1)
Source: RNAcentral